This 70-nucleotide transfer RNA is filed under the name Trichormus doliolum RPAN53. RNAcentral describes it as "tRNA-Ile". The record is from RNAcentral. Lineage: Bacteria; Bacillati; Cyanobacteriota; Cyanophyceae; Nostocales; Nostocaceae.
UAUUAGCUCAGGUGGUUACAGCGCACCCCUGAUAAGGGUGACGUCCCUGGUUAGACUCCAGGAUGGCCCA